AAUGAACGUUGGCGGCGUGGAUUAGGCAUGCAAGUCGAGCGCUCAUAGCAAUAUGGGAGCGGCGAACGGCGUAGUAAGACGUAGGAACGUACCCUCGGGUCGGGGAUAGCUACGGGAAACUGUAGGUAAUACCCGAUAAUCUCUGCGGAGCAAAGGUGUGAUUCCGCCUGAGGAGCGGCUUACGCGAUAUUAGCUAGUUGGUGGGGUAAUGGCCUACCAAGGCGAUGAUGUCUAGGGGGUGUGAGAGCAUGGCCCCCCACGACCGGAACUGAGAUACUGUCCGGACACCUACGGGUGGCUGCAGUCGAGAAUCUUCCGCAAUGGACGAAAGUCUGACGGAGCGACGCCGCGUGCGGGAUGAAGGCCCUUGGGUUGUAAACCGCUGUCAGAGGGGAUGAAAUCUUCGGAGGUACUCCUCCGAAGUUGACAGAGCCUCAAAGGAAGCACGGGCUAAGUACGUG
RNAcentral lists this ribosomal RNA (461 nucleotides) under uncultured bacterium. Its description in RNAcentral is "bacterial SSU rRNA". It matches the Rfam family "Bacterial small subunit ribosomal RNA", at positions 29 to 507 of the family's 1533-position model. The record is from RNAcentral.